Molecule: long non-coding RNA, 168 nt
Organism: Cotesia glomerata
Lineage: Eukaryota; Metazoa; Arthropoda; Insecta; Hymenoptera; Braconidae
Exons: 3
Source: RefSeq, a predicted model, not a curated record
CAAGACUUUAUAAAUUCAAUUCGUAUAAAUGUAUUAAUUUAUAAAUUCUAUAAAAAUUUUACUUGAAUAGUUAAAUGUUUUACAAAUUCACUAAAAUAUCAAGUGGCCAAAAAUGGUCCUAAGAUGGCCAAAACCGGUACUUCUACCCUAUAUAAUAUCAAAAAAAAA